AUUGAACGCUGGCGGAAUGCUUUACACAUGCAAGUCGGGCGGCAGCGCGGGGGCAACCCUGGCGGCGAGCGGCGAACGGGUGAGUAACACAUCGGAACGUACCCUGUCGUGGGGGAUAACGAAUCGAAAGAUUCGCUAAUACCGCAUACGACCUGAGGGUGAAAGCGGGGGAUCGCAAGACCUCGCGCGAGAGGAGCGGCCGAUGGCGGAUUAGCUAGUUGGUGGGGUAACGGCUUACCAAGGCUUCGAUCCGUAGCUGGUCUGAGAGGACGAUCAGCCACACUGGGACUGAGACACGGCCCAGACUCCUACGGGAGGCAGCAGUGGGGAAUCUUGCGCAAUGGGGGCAACCCUGACGCAGCCAUGCCGCGUGAAUGAUGAAGGCCUUAGGGUUGUAAAGUUCUUUUGCCCGUGACGAUGAUGACGGUAACGGGAGAAUAAGCUCCGGCUAACUUCGUGCCAGCAGCCGCGGUAAGUGACGUCAGA
RNAcentral lists this ribosomal RNA (486 nucleotides) under uncultured bacterium. Its description in RNAcentral is "bacterial SSU rRNA". It matches the Rfam family "Bacterial small subunit ribosomal RNA", at positions 29 to 532 of the family's 1533-position model. The record is from RNAcentral.